RNAcentral lists this transfer RNA (73 nucleotides) under Phycisphaeraceae bacterium. RNAcentral describes it as "tRNA-Thr". It matches the Rfam family "tRNA". From Rfam's summary of the family: Transfer RNA (tRNA) molecules are approximately 80 nucleotides in length. Their secondary structure includes four short double-helical elements and three loops (D, anti-codon, and T loops). Lineage: Bacteria; Pseudomonadati; Planctomycetota; Phycisphaerae; Phycisphaerales; Phycisphaeraceae. The record is from RNAcentral. RNAcentral also lists the same sequence under 1 other name.
GCCACCUUAGCUCAAUUGGCAGAGCAGCGGUUUUGUAAACCGCAGGUUGCCGGUUCAAGUCCGGCAGGUGGCU